RNAcentral lists this long non-coding RNA (1053 nucleotides) under Homo sapiens (human). Its description in RNAcentral is "PPP1CB divergent transcript". Lineage: Eukaryota; Metazoa; Chordata; Mammalia; Primates; Hominidae. The record is from RNAcentral.
AGACACUUUGGAUCCGGUAGGCAUAGCUCUCCCACAGGAGACUGUUUAGGCCAUGCCUGGCAUCAGUAACUCAGGCUGUUUCCCACACUACAGGCCAGCACUGUGGGCUCUCAGUUUAUUGGGAAAUGGAAAUAAGAGGGAAGGACAAAAGUCCACUGGGAAGCAGACUGGACAGAAAGGAACUCUGAGCAGCUAAACUCUGACUAAUCCCAGGGUAUACCUGCGUUUUCUCUUCACCAGAUUUUUCCUACCAGGAAGAGCAUGUGCUGACCAACAGACAUGAAUUUCAGCCUGGUAGUUACAACAUUCACAGGAGUUUCACUCGUUGCCCAGGCUGGAGUGCAACGGCGCGAUCUCAGCUCACUGCAACCUCCGCCUCCCCAGUUCAAGCGAUUCUCCUGCCUCAGCCUCCUGAGUCACUGGAAUUACGGGCGCCUGACACCACGCCCAGCUAAUUUUUUGUAUUUUUAGUAGACAUGGGGUUUCACUAUGUUGGCCAGGCUGGUCUCGAACUCCUGACCUCAUGAUCCUCCUGCCUCAGCCUCCCAAAGCACUGGGAUUACAGGUGUGAGCCACUGUGCCUGGUCCAUUAAAAACAUUUGUAAAGCUAUGGUGUUGAUAAAGUAUUAUGAAAGACUGCAAAAAAAGAUGGCUAAUUUUUAGUUAUUAUUGCACAUGUUUAGAGGAGCUAAUGACAUUUUCUAUGAUUAAUAAAAGACAUUAUUUAUGUUUUUAUUUAUGUAUUCCACAACAUUUAUUUUAUUUUCUCCAUUUCAGGAAAACCACUAUGUUGUUACAAUAAAGAUUUUCAUGUAAUUUGUGUUCAAUUGAUAGUAAUAAUGUAACAAGUUAAAAAUGAAGGUAAUUGUGUUUAAAAUUUGAGCAUAUUUUCAUCAAAAUGUAAGUUAAAGUGAUUGUAAAUUUUAAGAUCAUAAUUACUUUGUAUAUCUUCAAGAAAAUUAUUGUUUUAAAAUAUUUAUGCCUAUUAAAAUUAGAAGGCAAAAUAAAAAUAUAUGAAUACCAACAUUUUAAAUAAAAAUCAUUUAAAUAAAG